Molecule: ribosomal RNA, 414 nt
Filed under: Arthrobacter sp. R2.v
Lineage: Bacteria; Bacillati; Actinomycetota; Actinomycetes; Micrococcales; Micrococcaceae
Description: bacterial SSU rRNA
Rfam family: Bacterial small subunit ribosomal RNA
Source: RNAcentral
ACAGGUGAUUAGUGGGCGAACGGGUGAGUAACACGUGAGUAACCUGCCCCUGACUCUGGGAUAAGCCCGGGAAACUAGGGUCUAAUACUGGAUAUGCACCGUGAACCGCAUGGUUCUUGGUGGAAAGAUUUUUUGGUCAGGGAUGGACUCGCGGCCUAUCAGCUUGUUGGUGAGGUAAUGGCUCACCAAGGCGACGACGGGUAGCCGGCCUGAGAGGGUGACCGGCCACACUGGGACUGAGACACGGCCCAGACUCCUACGGGAGGCAGCAGUGGGGAAUAUUGCACAAUGGGCGAAAGCCUGAUGCAGCGACGCCGCGUGAGGGAUGACGGCCUUCGGGUUGUAAACCUCUUUCAGUAGGGAAGAAGCGAAAGUGACGGUACCUGCAGAAGAAGCGCCGGCUAACUACGUGCC